Molecule: non-coding RNA, 460 nt
Organism: Camellia sinensis
Lineage: Eukaryota; Viridiplantae; Streptophyta; Magnoliopsida; Ericales; Theaceae
Source: RefSeq, a predicted model, not a curated record
UAACAAUCUCGGUCAACUUAUCUCCAAAAACAAACGUGCGGUAUAUAUAUUUCUUCUUCUAUUCAUUACUUACAAUUUGCAAGAUCUGCAGAUAGGUGAGCAAAAAGAUAAGGUUUGGUAAGACAUUAAGCUAUGCAAAGCUGAAGAAUACUGAUUUGGAAAUUCUUGUGAAUCUUGUUGGUGACAAGGAAAGAUAUUUAAAAUCUCACAUGGUGCUAAAAUCUUGAGAUCUUAGAGAAUUUUCUUUUCUGUACACCCUUCAUUCAAAGUUGAAUCUCUCUAUCUCACCAUGACUCCAGAUUGAGUAAGAUUGAUGGUGUUGGAAUUUUAUCAUUCAUAUCUAGAUCGGGUUAUUCUUGACAUCAUUUGAGAGGUAAAAAUCUACCUAAGUUCCUUUUUCUUUUUCAAAUCAAUCUCUUUGAAUCAUAGAUUUAGGUAUGAAUUUAGAAAAAGAAAAAAA